GUGUCAGCAGCCGCGGUAAUACGUAGGGCGCGAGCGUUGUCCGGAAUUAUUGGGCGUAAAGAGCUUGUAGGCGGUUUGUCGCGUCUGCUGUGAAAGGCCGGAGCUUAACUCCGUGUAUUGCAGUGGGUACGGGCAGACUAGAGUGCAGUAGGGGAGACUGGAAUUCCUGGUGUAGCGGUGGAAUGCGCAGAUAUCAGGAGGAACACCGAUGGCGAAGGCAGGUCUCUGGGCUGUAACUGACGCUGAGAAGCGAAAGCAUGGGGAGCGAACAGGAUUAGAAACCCGUGUAGUCC
This 293-nucleotide ribosomal RNA is filed under the name uncultured prokaryote. Its description in RNAcentral is "partial 16S ribosomal RNA". It matches the Rfam family "Bacterial small subunit ribosomal RNA", at positions 505 to 796 of the family's 1533-position model. The record is from RNAcentral.